RNAcentral lists this ribosomal RNA (482 nucleotides) under uncultured bacterium. RNAcentral describes it as "partial 16S ribosomal RNA". It matches the Rfam family "Bacterial small subunit ribosomal RNA", at positions 29 to 506 of the family's 1533-position model. The record is from RNAcentral.
AUUGAACGCUGGCGGCAUGCCUUACACAUGCAAGUCGAACGGUAACGGGCCUUCGGGUGCCGACGAGUGGCGAACGGGUGAGUAAUACAUCGGAACGUGCCCGAUCGUGGGGGAUAACGAGGCGAAAGCUUUGCUAAUACCGCAUACGAUCUACGGAUGAAAGCAGGGGACCGCAAGGCCUUGCGCGGCCGGAGCGGCCGAUGGCAGAUUAGGUAGUUGGUGGGAUAAAAGCUUACCAAGCCGACGAUCUGUAGCUGGUCUGAGAGGAUGAUCAGCCACACUGGGACAGAGACACGGGCCCAACUCCUCAAGGGGGGAAGAGGGGGGGAAAUUGGGCAAAGGGGGCAAAGCCUGUCCCAGCCAAGCGCGGGGGAGGAGGAGGGCCUUGGGGUGUUAAACCGUUUUUUUAGGGAAGAAAAACCCUUUUUUUAAACCCGGAGGGUCUGGCGGGAACCGAAAGAAAAAGCACCGGUAAAUUAGGG